AGUGAACGCUGGCGGUAGGCCUAACACAUGCAAGUCGAACGGCAGCACAGUAAGAGCUUGCUCUUACGGGUGGCGAGUGGCGGACGGGUUAGGAAUACAUCGGAAUCUACUUUUUCGUGGGGGAGAACGUAGGGAAACUUACGCUAAUACCGCAUACGACCUACGUGUGAAAGCAGGGGAUCUUCGCGCCUUGCGCGAUUGAAUGAGCCGAUGUCGGAUUAGCUAGUUGGCGGGGUAAAGGCCCACCAAGGCGACGAUCCGUAGCUGGUCUGAGAGGACGAUCAGCAACACUGCAGAGAGGACGAGCUCCCGGCUUCGGAGGGAGGCAGCGGUGGGGAACCUUCGAGAAGGGGCGGACGCGUAAUUCAGCCAUACGGCGUGGGUGAAGAAGGCCUUCGCCUCGUAAAGCCUUUUGGUCGGGAGAGAAAAGCAGCAGGUUGAUACCCCGCUGUUCUGACGGUACCCGCAGAUUAAGCACCGGCUAACUUGGU
RNAcentral lists this ribosomal RNA (491 nucleotides) under uncultured bacterium. RNAcentral's name for it is "partial 16S ribosomal RNA". It matches the Rfam family "Bacterial small subunit ribosomal RNA", at positions 29 to 506 of the family's 1533-position model. The record is from RNAcentral.